ACUCUACUGUACUCAAGCUCCACACAUUUGACAUACAGGCUCAGAACUGAGCAUUUGUUUAUUGUAAAUAAUGAUUUGCACGAACCCUAAAGCACCAUUUUAGUCAGCUUUUAUUUGAGUAAUAUUUUAACAUUUUUUAAAAUAUGCAUCCUGGCAUUUGUCUGUCUAGUACAGGUGGUGCCCUAUCCCACCCUGUGGUGUCCACUGUGUCUAUAGCACAUGCUUGCAGGCUGGUCCUCCUGAAACCUUUUCCAGAGCAUCCUUAGUUUUCAAGUAGUCCAAAAGUCAUAACUCUCCACAACAGCUUCUUAUUGGCAUGACUCUCAUCACACCAACUGCAAAAUCAAACCAAAUAAUGCCUUAUAAACCAUGCAGCUCAGAGGGAGCAGAGUGUCCCCAGGUCCUGGUGUGGCCACACAGCUUCCAGGGAGCGAGAUGCCAUGUCUCGCUCCCUUUUUAGCAGUACAGGGAUGCCAUUUUGCUGCCUAAUGUAUAUAUCCCAAUGCAAAGGCUAGAGUGGGUGUGGCCCCUCCCAUGCCUUCCGCAGGGCCCCUUUUGUAACUCAAUCCUUUUACGAGUAGCCAAUGCUCUUACUGUUUACAGCAUCCCUAGUGCCCAGUCUCCACUUCCUUCUGCCCCUCCAUGUUCCCAGCGCCAUGCUGGUAGCCAGGGUAAAGUCAGCUUUAUGAGAUUUUUAUAUCCUCCCACCCCUGCAGACCACAAAUGUAUAUAGCUCAUGAUUGUGAUAAGUUUAUUUUUUACCUCAGUAGUCUCCCUCUCCAAACUCUACUCGGAGUGUAAGAUUUAUGUGGAAAAUACAACAUAUAUUUAAAAAAGAAGAAGAUGAAGAAGAGGAAGCUGAAGAAAGAGACCCACUGGUAACAUGCCUGCCCGACAAGCCUAAGCAGGAAAAGCUGGGUGCCGUACACAUUUGGUAUCCCAUUGCCGGGGAGGCAGAGGCAGGCAGAUCCCUGCGACUCCCUGGCCAGCCAAGCUAAUCGGGGAAUCCCAGGUUCCAGAAAGUGACAUUGUCUCAAAACAUACGGUGGCAACUCCUGAGGCCACAACACCCAAAGUUGACCUCUUACAGGCUCACACAUUACAUGUGUGCACACAUCCCACACAGGAACAUGUACAGCCAUGUACAAACGCAUACAAAAGAGCAAAGCAGCUCUUCGAGUAUAUCUCAAAUAUCUGGUCCCGUUGGUAGGAAUGCCAUCAGCCCAAAGGUCCUUCCCACUGAGCUGAAGAACACAGACAACUCUCUUGCCUGGUGGUGUGUGUCUGGGGUGCUCCUCAGAUGAAUGCAGCCAAGUCAGCUGCCCUGAAUAGACAGAGGGCCACUCCAGGCCGGGGCAGCAAUCUGCACCCUUCUUUGAUUCUCCAGGGAGUGAAGUAUGCUUUUGCUUCUUGUCAGGCCCCAAAUGCUCCCAUCCACCAGAGAGGGGAGGCUGUAGCAGAGGAGGGGAAAGAGGUAGGAAGCCGUCUGAGCCCUCACUGUGCUCAGAAUAGCUGUAGACAAAGGAGAAGGGCACUGAGCUAUGAUGAGCUUUGGAGCAUCUCACUCAGGCACUCACCCCACAAGAACAUUAGCCCAGCCCAGGCCAUCCAGGGUCAAAGGAUAAGGAGAGUGUCUGCAGACACCUAACUGUCAUAUGGAGCAAAUGUCCUACAUGCUUCCAGAUAGGUGAAACUGAGCCAGGGCCAAGUUUCCAACAUCUCUGGGGUAAGGACUCAAGCCACUGUAACAGCCACAUGAACAGAGGUGAAGGUUCCAUUCAACGCUGACUUUGUUGCGUUGGUUCUGGAAGUGUGCAGAAAGGUCAGGAUCCAGUCUACUCUUCUCCCAGCCACGCAAAGUAAUAAUCAUUAAAAAGCUUUCAUAACUACGACAAGGGCCAUCUGGAAGGCAGCCCUGCCUUUGAAGUAGUCUGUUUGCCCAGUACACUGAAGGACACCAUGUUCUACACUGCUGGCACAAGAAUUUAAACUAUUCACGAGUGGGGAGAUGUCUCUGUCAGGAGACGUCCUGCUGCCCAAGCAUGAGGGCCUGAGCUCAUAUCCCCAGCACCCACGUAAAAGCCAGGCAUAGGGGUGCAUGUCUGUAAUCCUUGGUAGAGGAGUGGGUAAAGUUGGGUAGAGGCAGCUGAUCCUGGGAAGGUCAGUGCCCAGCCAACCUCACAAAAUGAGCGAUCUGCAAGCUGCAGGGUUAGUGAGAAACUGAUAGUAGAGAUAGACCAAAAAAGAUUCCUGUGAAUGGCCUUUGGGCCUCCACAUGCAUGUGCACACAUGUGCCCUUGUUCAUGCACACACACGCACACACCACACACACACAAACACGACACAUAAAUAUUUUUUACAAAGUUAUUUAAGGUCAGAAGGAAGGAACAUGCAGAAACCAAAAAUAGCAAGCGAGGAACGGUCUCAGGGAUCUGGCCUAGCAGCUCAAGGCCUGUCAUGGAGCCUACCCCUCCAAGUCCAAGUGGGUACCUUCAGUACCCACCAGCAGCGCAUGGGUUAGGCCCCUGGCCAUGAACUCACAUGUGGAGAGGUCCCCUGCUAGCCUUGCUUACCCUCACAUUGCAGACUGUGACUCCCCCGAUGUCUCACCCAAUGUUCUUUAUAUUUUAUUGAAGUUCCCUGCUGUGGAUUUAUUCCUUUGUACCUAAUAAACUUUAAUAAG
Molecule: long non-coding RNA, 2683 nt
Filed under: Mus musculus (house mouse)
Lineage: Eukaryota; Metazoa; Chordata; Mammalia; Rodentia; Muridae
Description: long non-coding RNA chr6:54501079-54503762
Source: RNAcentral